GCUCAGUAACACGUGGAUAACCUGCCCUCAGGUCCGGCAUAACCUCGGGAAACUGAGGAUAAUUCCGGAUAUCUCUUCUCUGCUGGAAUCGCUUGAAGAGACAAAGAAUUUCGCCUGAGGAUGGGUCUGCGGCCUAUCAGGUUGUAGGGGGUGUAACGUACCCUCUAGCCGACAACGGGUACGGGUUGUGAGAGCAAGAGCCCGGAGAUGGAUUCUGAGACAUGAAUCCAGGCCCUACGGGGCGCAGCAGGCGCGAAAACUUUACAAUGCAGGAAACUGUGAUAAGGAGACACCGAGUGCUCGCAUCAAAUGCGGGCUGUCCACAUACCUAAAUCGUAUGUGUUAGCAAGGGCCGGGCAAGACCGGUGCCAGCCGCCGCGGUAAUACCGGUGGCCCGAGUGGUAGCCGCUUUUAUUGGGUCUAAAGGGUCCGUAGCCGGUUCGGUCAGUCCAUUGGGAAAUCCGGAUGCUCAACAUCCGGGCUUCCAGUGGAUACUGCCGAACUUGGGAUCGGGGGAGGUAAGAGGUACUACAGGGGUAGGAGUGAAAUCUUGUAAUCCUUGUGGGACCACCUGUGGCGAAGGCGUCUUACCAAAACGAGUCCGACGGUGAGGGACGAAAGCUGGGGGCACGAACCGGAUUAGAUACCCGGGUAGUCCCAGCCGUAAACGAUGCUCGCUAGGUGUCAGGCAUGGCGUGACUGUGUCUGGUGCCGAAGGGAAGCCGUGAAGCGAGCCACCUGGGAAGUACGGCCGCAAGGCUGAAACUUAAAGGAAUUGGCGGGGGAGCACAACAACGGGUGGAGCCUGCGGUUUAAUUGGACUCAACGCCGGAAAACUCACCAGGGGAGACAGCAAUAUGUAGGUCAAGCUGAAGACUUUACCUGAAUCGCUGAGAGGAGGUGCAUGGUCGUCGCCAGUUCGUACUGUGAAGCAUCCUGUUAAGUCAGGCAACGAGCGAGACCCGUGCCCACAGUUACCAGCGGCAUCUCCGGAUGGCCGGGUACUCUGUGGGGACCGCCGGUGUUAAAUCGGAGGAAGGUGCGGGCUACGGUAGAUCAGUAUGCCCCGAAUCUCUUGGGCUACACGCGGGCUACAAUGGACGGGACAAUGGGCAACUACACCGAAAGGUGAUGUCAAUCUCAUAAACCCGUUCGAAGUUCGGAUCGAGGAUUGAAACCCAUCCUCGUGAAGCUGGAAUCCGUAGUAAUCGCGUUUCAACAUAGCGCGGUGAAUACGUCCCUGCUCCUUGCACACACCG
Molecule: ribosomal RNA, 1259 nt
Filed under: Methanimicrococcus blatticola
Lineage: Archaea; Methanobacteriati; Methanobacteriota; Methanomicrobia; Methanosarcinales; Methanosarcinaceae
Description: 16S ribosomal RNA
Rfam family: Archaeal small subunit ribosomal RNA
Source: RNAcentral